This 231-nucleotide ribosomal RNA is filed under the name Candidatus Scybalocola faecigallinarum. RNAcentral describes it as "partial 16S ribosomal RNA". It matches the Rfam family "Bacterial small subunit ribosomal RNA", at positions 1 to 211 of the family's 1533-position model. Lineage: Bacteria; Bacillati; Bacillota; Clostridia; Lachnospirales; Lachnospiraceae. The record is from RNAcentral.
AAACAUGAGAGUUUGAUCCUGGCUCAGGAUGAACGCUGGCGGCGUGCUUAACACAUGCAAGUCGAACGAAGCAGUCUUGAUGAAGCCUUCGGGUGGAAUCAGGAUUGACUGAGUGGCGGACGGGUGAGUAACGCGUGGGUAAUCUGCCUCACACAGGGGGAUAACAGUUAGAAAUGACUGCUAAUACCGCAUAAGCGCACGAGAGGGCAUCCUCAAGUGUGAAAAGCCGAG